UUUAUGGUCCCGGAUGACGCGAAAGCUGUGAACCCCGCCAGGCCCGGAAGGGAGCAACGGUAGCGGAAAUAGUGGGUGUCUGGGGCCACCUUUCUGGA
RNAcentral lists this signal recognition particle RNA (98 nucleotides) under Deltaproteobacteria bacterium. RNAcentral's name for it is "signal recognition particle sRNA small type". It matches the Rfam family "Bacterial small signal recognition particle RNA". From Rfam's summary of the family: The signal recognition particle (SRP) is a universally conserved ribonucleoprotein involved in the co-translational targeting of proteins to membranes. The record is from RNAcentral. RNAcentral also lists the same sequence under 1 other name. Lineage: Bacteria; Pseudomonadati; Myxococcota; Myxococcia.